AUUGAACGCUGGCGGCAUGCCUUACACAUGCAAGUCGAACGGCAGCACGGGUGCUUGCACCUGGUGGCGAGUGGCGAACGGGUGAGUAAUACAUCGGAACGUACCUUAUCGUGGGGGAUAACGCAGCGAAAGCUGUGCUAAUACCGCAUACGCCCUGAGGGGGAAAACGGGGGAUCGAAAGACCUCGCGCGAUUGGAGCGGCCGAUGCCUGAUUAGCUUGUUGGUGAGGUGACGGCUCACCAAGGCGACGAUCAGUAGCCGGUCUGAGAGGAUGAACGGCCACAUUGGGACUGAGAUACGGCCCAG
RNAcentral lists this ribosomal RNA (306 nucleotides) under uncultured bacterium. RNAcentral describes it as "bacterial SSU rRNA". It matches the Rfam family "Bacterial small subunit ribosomal RNA", at positions 30 to 334 of the family's 1533-position model. The record is from RNAcentral.